This 433-nucleotide ribosomal RNA is filed under the name uncultured bacterium. RNAcentral's name for it is "partial 16S ribosomal RNA". It matches the Rfam family "Bacterial small subunit ribosomal RNA", at positions 29 to 507 of the family's 1533-position model. The record is from RNAcentral.
AACGAACGCUGGCGGCAUGCCUAACACAUGCAAGUCGAACGAGACCUUCGGGUCUAGUGGCGCACGGGUGCGUAACGCGUGGGAACCUGCCUUUAGGUUCGGAAUAACUCAGAGAAAUUUGAGCUAAUACCGGAUGAUUUCUUCGGACCAAAGAUUUAUCGCCUUUAGAUGGGCCCGCGUUGGAUUAGCUAGUUGGUGGGGUAAAGGCCUACCAAGGCGACGAUACAUAGCUGGUCUGAGAGGAUGAUCAGCCACACUGGGACUGAGACACGGCCCAGAAUACUACGGGAGGCAGCAGUGGGGAAUAUUGGACAAUGGGCGAAAGCCUGAUCCAGCAAUGCCGCGUGAGUGAUGAAGGCCUUAGGGUUGUAAAGCUCUUUUAUCCGAGAUGAUAAUGACAGUAUCGGGAGAAUAAGCUCCGGCUAACUCCGUG